Cotesia glomerata is the source of this 540-nucleotide long non-coding RNA. RefSeq lists it as uncharacterized. NCBI's taxonomy places the organism in Eukaryota, Metazoa, Arthropoda, Insecta, Hymenoptera, Braconidae. The transcript has 3 exons. The record is from RefSeq and is a predicted model, not a curated record.
AAGUCGAAAACCUCCGCAACUCGAAAAAAUGUUUCAUCCCCUUCCCUUCAAGCCGUAAAACCUCUGUUACUCGAAAUUUUUACCCUCUAUAAGUCGAAAUAGUUAGUGAGUCCCUGCAAGCAAUUUCUGUACAUUUAUACCCUCCUUAACUCGAAUACAUACACUUGGACCUCUUUAUCUCGAAUUUAAAAUUAUUACCGUAUAUAAUUUACUUCCAUUGGAUGGAGAUGCUUCUGAGAGAUAACCAGGCAAUGAAGAGGCGGUCCAAGAUCUACAGAAGACAUUUCUUUCAAAGUACAGGCAAUUAUUUGCUGGUCAUCGGAUCCAAUUCGUGCUAAACCAACAGCUAAGCUAACUGUCUCCUGUCAAAACUAAAAAUAAAAAAAACGCCAUUCGGCCACACCCGAAAUGGAAGAGCAUUAAAUACCUGUUCAAUAUGAUAAUUAUCGAAAUCUGGUAUCGUCAUCCUAACACAAAUAUCUCUGAGACUCCACGUUCUGUAAUAAAAUGACAUAAAAGAUAAAUAAAAUAAAUAAAAAU